AACGCAUAUGUAGCAGAUGUGGUGAACUCGGGCAUUAUAGAACUAGUUGUAAAGUUAACUUGCAAAGGUACCAUUUUCGUUUAUAUUCAGUUUUAACCCUAUAUAAGUUUAUGAAACUUGAUAGCACAAAGUCAUAUCUCAUGAUUAAUUUGUCAUAUAAUUUGCAGGUAAACAUAUGCACGGGUGGUGGAUGUAUUGGUUUGUUCAAAAAGUCAUUAUCUCAUGAUUAAUGUUCAUCCAAAACUGUUGCUGAUUGUCUUGUAGCUGCUGAUGUAUUACUACAUUUUAUGUAUUAAGACUGAUUGUGUUAAGAUUGAUUGUGCCUUAUAGCUGCUGAUGUGUUAAGACUAAUGUAUUAAGACCGAGUAUGUGUGUGUGUUAUUGGUUAUUUGAUAUGGAUUGUUGUCUUGUAGCUGCUGAUGUAUGUGAAUUGUAUUGUGAAGUUUGUAAGUUUUAAUUC
This is a long non-coding RNA of Asparagus officinalis (garden asparagus), 460 nucleotides long. RefSeq lists it as uncharacterized. NCBI's taxonomy places the organism in Eukaryota, Viridiplantae, Streptophyta, Magnoliopsida, Asparagales, Asparagaceae. The transcript is spliced from 2 exons. The record is from RefSeq and is a predicted model, not a curated record.